CGCAAGACCCCGUCACCCCGGUGGGGUCGGUCGUGAGGACCCGGCUGCUCGCGGUUAAGAGCUCCACCAUCACUAUCGCCUCUGCCGCCGUCCGUCGUCAGCUUCUUCCGCUGCCGCCGCCGCCAUCACCGUCGCCUCCGCAUCCGCUGCCGAUGCCAGCAUCCGCCGCCGCCGAUCCGCCACCGUCGCCGCUGCUGUUCGUCGCCAAUGCCAUCUGCUCGUCGUCGCCACCACCACCGUCCGCCGUUGCCUACACCUCUAACGCCGCCCCCGCAGCCACCGGCGCCGCGCAGUCACCUGCCGCUGCCGCCAGCAUUCCAUUCCCCUCCGGUUCUGCCGCCGUCGGUGCCCUUCCGCCAUCGCCCCCCACCGCCGCCGCCGGUGCCCCACUGCCGUGACCGGGCCGUCGAUUCCGCUGCCUUCGGGCGGGUAUUUUCCCAUUUAGGGCUUAAUCGCCCUGAUUCGCGGAUACUGACUGCGGGCCCCAACGGUUCAGAUCAUCCCUGAAGACCCCGGUUGCGUAAUUAUUUCUCUCUCCUUUUCUUUCUCUUUCUCAUUCUCUUGAUGUGUACCUAUCCCUCUUAACUCUCCGUGGACAGCCAUGAAGAGUUCGUCUGUUAUCUCUCUCAGGUGUUCGUACAUAUAUUUUGUGUGGCGG
RNAcentral lists this long non-coding RNA (658 nucleotides) under Spirodela polyrhiza (greater duckweed). RNAcentral describes it as "long non-coding RNA (SPOL_LNC000424)". The record is from RNAcentral. Lineage: Eukaryota; Viridiplantae; Streptophyta; Magnoliopsida; Alismatales; Araceae.